GAAUGGAUAAGCGCUGAAAGCAUAUUAAGCGCGAAGCCAACUUCAAGAUUAGAUUUCCCUAUGAGGACACUGAAAGACUAUCAGUUUGAUAGGUGCAAGGUGGAAGCAUGGUAACAUGUGUAGCUGAAGCAUACUAACAGUCCCAUUGCCUUUUUAUG
This 158-nucleotide ribosomal RNA is filed under the name Candidatus Saccharimonadota bacterium. RNAcentral describes it as "partial 23S ribosomal RNA". It matches the Rfam family "Bacterial large subunit ribosomal RNA", at positions 2758 to 2925 of the family's 2925-position model. Lineage: Bacteria; Candidatus Saccharimonadota. The record is from RNAcentral.